This 427-nucleotide long non-coding RNA is filed under the name Androctonus crassicauda. Lineage: Eukaryota; Metazoa; Arthropoda; Arachnida; Scorpiones; Buthidae. The record is from RNAcentral.
UGUCUUGUCGUUUAUUUUAAUUAUACGACACGUAAGGAUAUAUCAUGAAGUUUUUUGUUUUAUCCCCUUUUCCAAUCAAUCUACUAAGGAGUAGGGCCAGUUCCAACCCCUAACCAUGGGCAGCAUCUACACCUUCAUCCGACCAUCCCUCCACCUUCACCAUCCGAUUCUCCUCCACACCUGUGGAGGAGAAUCGGAUGGUGAAGACCUGAGAUCGCCGGGCCGGGUUCAGAACCCCGAAAAAACUUUUCAGGAGAUGCCGGACCCGGGAUGUGAACUCGGAUCCUUCUGCGUGGCCGGCCAACGGGUUACCACGCGAUUAUCCGGCCGUCUUACUUAAAGUUUAACGGUAGAUAUUAAAUACCAACAGUAUAUCUAUAUAUUAUAUGCUGUUUGUAUUUAACUCUUUCGAUUAACUGACAAAGAU